This 828-nucleotide ribosomal RNA is filed under the name Curvularia spicifera. RNAcentral describes it as "LSU rRNA". It matches the Rfam family "Eukaryotic large subunit ribosomal RNA", at positions 114 to 960 of the family's 3401-position model. The record is from RNAcentral. Lineage: Eukaryota; Fungi; Ascomycota; Dothideomycetes; Pleosporales; Pleosporaceae.
UUUGAAAUCUGGCUCUUUCCGAGUCCGAGUUGUAAUUUGCAGAGGGCGCUUUGGCUUUGGCAGCGGUCCAAGUUCCUUGGAACAGGACGUCACAGAGGGUGAGAAUCCCGUACGUGGUCGCUAGCUAUUGCCGUGUAAAGCCCCUUCGACGAGUCGAGUUGUUUGGGAAUGCAGCUCUAAAUGGGAGGUAAAUUUCUUCUAAAGCUAAAUAUUGGCCAGAGACCGAUAGCGCACAAGUAGAGUGAUCGAAAGAUGAAAAGCACUUUGGAAAGAGAGUCAAACAGCACGUGAAAUUGUUGAAAGGGAAGCGCUUGCAGCCAGACUUGCUUGCAGUUGCUCAUCCGGGCUUUUGCCCGGUGCACUCUUCUGCAGGCAGGCCAGCAUCAGUUUGGGCGGUGGGAUAAAGGUCUCUGUCACGUACCUUCCUUCGGGUUGGCCUUAUAGGGGAGACGCCUUACCACCAGCCUGGACUGAGGUCCGCGCAUCUGCUAGGAUGCUGGCGUAAUGGCUGUAAGCGGCCCGUCUUGAAACACGGACCAAGGAGUCUAACAUCUAUGCGAGUGUUUGGGUGUCAAGCCCGAGCGCGUAAUGAAAGUGAACGGAGGUGGGAACCCGCAAGGGUGCACCAUCGACCGAUCCUGAAGUUUACGGAAGGAUUUGAGUAAGAGCAUGGCUGUUGGGACCCGAAAGAUGGUGAACUAUGCUUGAAUAGGGUGAAGCCAGAGGAAACUCUGGUGGAGGCUCGCAGCGGUUCUGACGUGCAAAUCGAUCGUCAAAUUUGGGCAUAGGGGCGAAAGACUAAUCGAACUAUCUAGUAGCUGGUUCCUG